Cygnus atratus (black swan) is the source of this 1426-nucleotide long non-coding RNA. RefSeq lists it as uncharacterized. The record is from RefSeq and is a predicted model, not a curated record. The transcript is spliced from 4 exons. NCBI's taxonomy places the organism in Eukaryota, Metazoa, Chordata, Aves, Anseriformes, Anatidae.
ACGGGACGGAUGUGUGGCUGCUGGCCCUACGGCCGCGGUGCUGCUCGCCUGGGUAGGUGGGUGCCGAGGGCGAUGCGGCUGGGGGAACCGGGCUCUGGCCUGCCGCGAGAUGGCGGCGCGGGGCCGGGUUCGUGAGGUGGCGGUGGUGGCCCCGUCACCCGGCCCCGGGGGGGGCGGGUCCCGCCUGCUUCGUAUUUUGUUCCGCCGCUGUGGGAAGGAUAACGGUGGGUAGCUUCGUCCCCACGGCCGCCGUGUGUGGCUCCGGGCUGCCCAGGCACCUGCCUCCUUGCCGCUCCUGACCGCGUGCGGGUUCCUCGCAAAUUGUGAACUAAAACCAGAGCUUGCGAGCAGCCUUCUGAGAAGGACGGUGGGUCUGUCGUGUGGUAACGCUCCAAAACUGACUGCCAGACAGCGACUGGAUCAGCCUCUCGAGCUCAGAUCCCGAAAUCUCACCCACCUGUCAACUGCCCAGCCUGAUGCUUUUGCCUCAAGUGCCUAACGCUUCUGGUGCAAACAGCUAUGGACAUCUUGGUCAUAAAGAGGAUGUGCUGGUACCUCAGUCAACGAAAGAUGUUUCCUGCAAAUGUUGAGACAUUAAGAGCAUUACUGGAGGAGGGGGACAUUCUGCAGUUAUCACUGGUGCUGGAGAGCUCUUUGUGUGUGGCCAUAACAAAGAAGGGCAGCUGGGACUGAAUCACACAGAGGAUGUACUGCGUUUCACUUUGUGCACUGCCCUGUCUGGCUUUCAUGUAAAAGAAGUUGCCUGUGGUUGGGAUUUUGCAAUCAUAUUAGUAGGAUUUGGCCUAGUUCUGUCCUGUGGGUCUAAUGCUUUUGGACAAUUAGGAGUUCCUCAAAUUUCAGGUCCAUGCUUGACUCCACAAAAGAUUGAGGUAAAGAUCUAAAAGGAAUUGUGCUUUAUUGCUCUGAAUGUUAUGCUUCUUACAGCAACUAAAGGCCUGGUGACCUCGGUGGGCUUUAAGCCAGGCCCUUCAACUGCUUUUGAAGGAGUCUAUCUGAUGAAAUAAAUUUACAAAGUAAAGGACCAAAGAUGGUAAUUGACUCAGAAAUGAGAAGCUAAGGUUGCUUUCCUUGUUGUAUGAAGAAGUUGCCCACUUGUUAUGGAAAGCUGUCUGUUUCACUUGUGAUUAGAACAAUUCAUUAAUGCAUUUGGAUGACAUCUGCAGAAUGAGUCUGAUGCUCAGGUGAUGUGAAGUGAUAUUAAAGCUAAUGAAACCAUCCAACUUUACUUCAGCUGAAGUUUUCCUCAAGUUUGUAAGAGACUAGAUAUGUUUUGCUACCUGGAGUUUACUCAUACCUUUGCAUACCUUGUUCAAGGCUUGUGCUUAACUGUUUGAAUGAUGCCUUGUAAAACAAAAUAGACUAGCAGUAAUCCACCCCAGAAAAAAUAAACUGUGUGAUAGAGUUC